GGAUCCAGCACCCCUAAUUUGCGGCAUCCCCGGGGGAAGGAAGACCCAACGUUUCGGGGCCGUUUUUAUGAAUGAACGAGCUCCCGCUCACGCAGAAGGGGCGGCGCCGCGAUGCACGCGAAGAAGGGUGCGCUAUCCGCUCGCUGCGCCGGCCGCGAGGAUGCACCGAGGCCGAGGGGGUCUCUCUGCGCAUGCGCCGCCGUCGCCGAGCAGCGAAUGCCCGCGCAGUCUUCAAAUCGUCGCUACACGCGUCGCCCAACGGACCUACCUUAGCGUGAUUCUCGCUCUCGGCUCUCGCUCGAACGAAAUACGAUCGAAACAUUUCGAAAAAAUUCUGUGUGUGUUUUUUUCCCGAAUAAUAUCAUCAAACUUUGUACAUUUUUCCUGGUUCAUUUUCCUCGGCGUGCGCUUUCGGUUUCAAAACCGAUAGUCCUAGCGUUUUCGGUUGUGUGUGUCGGUUUUUGUUUCGGUUUUGUAGUUUUUUUGUGUGUUUUUGUGGUUUUUGGAAAAAACGCUUAACUUUGUGGAUACUCUGUGGUUUCGAGCAGUGGGUUUGUCCGCAGCUAUGCGGCUUACUCUCUCCUGAAUCAGUAUCAGGGACUGUUUUCCAUCUUGGAUUUCUCGGUUGAGAUGCGGUAGCCCGGAUGGCGAUGGGUGAAUUCCGGCGGACGCACUCCAAGGUCUGGUGGUCGCACUACCCCUCGGACGACGGCGACGACGAGGACGGGCCCUCCGGCUCGGGGGCGGGUCACCCGUGGGGCCCGGGGGCGGCCCCCUCGCCGCACUGGGGCCCCGGCCUCUCCCUGAGCGGCAUCGGCGAGCGCCGCUUCUCCAGCAGCCCGAGCAGCGGCUCGCACAAGUCCCAGGACUCCGGCUUCUCCGACUCCGAGUCCAGCUCCCCCUCCGGCAGCACCCGCAGCACCAGCGGCACCAAGAUCAACAAGAGCCCCCUCAAAGAGGAGGAAGACGAGGCUCGCGAUGACGUCAGCGAUGGGGUUCGAGAUGACGUAAGUGAUGGAGUCAGGGAUGACGUCAGUGAUGGAGUCAGGGAUGACGUCAGUGAUGGUGUCAGGGAUGACGUCAGUGAUGGAGUCAGGGAUGACGUCAGUGAUGGGAGCACGCCCGAGCCCAAGUUCGUGGACCCGAUGCUCCUGCGCAUUCCCCUCUCGAGGAUACCCCGCGUUUGCCUCGCUCACAAGUCCAAGCCGGACCCCGAGGCCGAGUCCAAGAUCGCCCCCAACGAGAAUAUCAUACUCGAUAUCAAGGAGGAGGUGAGCCAGGACGAGCUGACGCGUCGCUACAAGACGGAGCCGCGGAAAUGCGAGUCGAGCUACCAGCGCCACUCGGUCUCCCUCGAGCUCCACAGCUCCCCGUUCCAGUUCCAGUUACCGCCCAAGUUCAACAGCAUGGAGUGUCUCCUCAACGAGCAGAACCUCUUCUCCAGCACCAGGAACACCCCCCGGCGUCGCUCCAGCCUCACCGACGAGUCGGACGCCUCGCCGCCGCCCUCCCCGAAACCCGUCCGCAAGUCCACCUGCAAGAUCGUCGAAGAAAUACCAAAGAAAUCCUUCCUCCAGGCCCUCAACGCCUCCAGGCUCGACUCCAGCGAGAAGGAAAACAUCCAACCCAACCUCAAUACCUCCGCGGAGAAGAACUCAAAUUUGAGUCGUCCCUUGGAAAAGACCUCCAAUAAAAGUCUCCUCAUCGGAAAGAACCUUAGGGAAUGUAGACCUUGUGAGGAAAACUCUAACGAGAGUCAUCCAGCGAUAGCUUUACGGAAUGUAGACCUUGUGUGAAGAACUCUAACGAGAGCCAUCCCAGCGAUAGCUUUACGGAAUGUAGGCCUUGUGGAAAGAACUCCAGUGAGAGUCAACCCAGCGAGGAAGAAUGCAGACCGUGCGAAGAGAACUCCAGUGAGAGUCAUUCCACUGGAAAAGAAUGUCUUUCCUGCGAGAAGAAUUCCCCCGGUGGAAAGAACUCCAGUGAAAGUCAGUCUUGCGAAACCCAAGAGGGUGAAGGUGAUGCUUGCGACAAGACCGCCUCGGCCGAGAAGGACCCCUGGGUGACCUCGCAAGUCGUGGAGAGCGGCUGGAAGGAGAGCUUCAGGGAAGAGAUCCAAGAGAAGACCGCUAAGUACAAAGAAACCGUGUUCUGCGGGAAGGUUUCGACGAGUGAUAAGACUUCUAGUGAUAACGAGCGGACGGGCCGCUACUCGAGCAUCAUCCAGAUCACCGCGGAGCGGACGAGCGUCUGCGACCGGGUCACCGAGGGCUUGGAGCGGAUACCGGAGGAGAGCCCGACCUCGACGUCGAGCGAGGAGACGGUCCGCUUCAUCGGGAACAUCGACCUCUCGAAGACGGAGGAGCGGGACGAGCGGAACGUGGCGACGGGCGAGGACAAGGACAAGACCUCGAAGAGCAACCUGUCGUGGUCGCCGAUCAAGUCGGAGACGGAGGAGGUGGACGGGUCGCCGAACAAGACGGUGGUCUUCGGGGCGGUGAGCGAGCUCCCGGGGGCGCCCUCGCAUACGUCCACGCCCAAGGGCGUCCCGGCGCCCAACAGGGCCCGGCGGGACCAGCGGCGCCUCAGCCGCAAGGGGCUUUUCCUCCAGCAGGAGACCAAGAGGUAAGCAGAUCUCGUUCCCGCUUGUUUUGGAGCCGGGUUAGAGGCUGGGAAUGUGACGACAGGAUGCAA
This 2694-nucleotide long non-coding RNA is filed under the name Bemisia tabaci. RNAcentral describes it as "lncRNA ENSASIAIIG002507". The record is from RNAcentral. Lineage: Eukaryota; Metazoa; Arthropoda; Insecta; Hemiptera; Aleyrodidae.